Molecule: non-coding RNA, 190 nt
Filed under: Streptomyces albus
Lineage: Bacteria; Bacillati; Actinomycetota; Actinomycetes; Kitasatosporales; Streptomycetaceae
Description: SAM-I sequence
Rfam family: SAM riboswitch aptamer (S box leader)
About the family: The SAM riboswitch is found upstream of a number of genes which code for proteins involved in methionine or cysteine biosynthesis in Gram-positive bacteria. The SAM riboswitch acts at the level of transcription termination control.
Source: RNAcentral
CGCUCAUCCAGAGGGGCAGAGGGAUACGGCCCGUUGAAGCCCCGGCAACCCUCCAGCUGGUACUCGAGAGCACGUAGCGUCCGAAGGGCCCCGUCAGGGGCGGUGGUCGGGCGACGGGCGGGCGAGGCUCCCGGCUAGGGAAGGUGCCAAUUCCGUCUCAUGGCGAUGUUCGCCGUGAGGAAGAUGAGGA